UACAAGGGUGAUGUACUCUUGACAGAGG
This 28-nucleotide unclassified non-coding RNA is filed under the name Mus musculus (house mouse). RNAcentral describes it as "oocyte_clustered_small_RNA8179". Lineage: Eukaryota; Metazoa; Chordata; Mammalia; Rodentia; Muridae. The record is from RNAcentral.